GCGGCAGGCCUUAUACAUGCAAGUCGAGGGGCAGCAUUUACUUCGGUAAAUGGCGACCGGCGAACGGGUGCGUAACGCGUAUGCAACCUACCUUUAACUGGGGCAUAGCUCGAAGAAAUUCGAAUUAAUUCCCCAUAGUACAAUAAUAUCGCAUGAUAUAAUUGUUAAAGAUUUAUCGGUUAAAGAUGGGCAUGCGUCUGAUUAGUUUGUUGGUGAGGUAAUGGCUCACCAAGGCUACGAUCAGUAGGGGUUCUGAGAGGAUGAUCCCCCACAUUGGUACUGAGACACGGACCAGACUUCUACGGAAGGCAGCAGUAAGGAAUAUUGGGCAAUGGGCGAAAGCCUGACCCAGCCAUGCCGCGUGCAGGAUUGAAGACCUUAUGGGUUGUAAACUGCUUUUAUAUAGGAAGAAAAAACUCUUGCGAGAGUAACUGACGGUACUAUAUGAAUAAGGACCGGCUAACUCCGUGCCAGCAGCCGCGGUAAUACGGAGGGUUCAAGCGUUAUCCGGAUUUAUUGGGUUUAAAGAGUGCGUAGGUGGUUUAUUAAGUCAGUGGUGAAAUCCUACAGCUCAACUGUAGAACUGCCAUUGAUACUGGUAAACUUGAGUUUGGCUGAGGUAAGCGGAAUUUAUGAUGUAGCGGUGAAAUGCAUAGAUAUCAUAAGGAACACCAAUAGCGUAGGCAGCUUACUAGACCAAUACUGACACUGAGGCACGAAAGCGUGGGUAGCGAACAGGAUUAGAUACCCUGGUAGUCCACGCCGUAAACGAUGCUCACUCGAUGUUAGCGAUAUACUGUUAGCGUCCAAGCUAAAGCGUUAAGUGAGCCACCUGGGUAGUACGCCG
Molecule: ribosomal RNA, 847 nt
Filed under: uncultured Cytophagales bacterium
Lineage: Bacteria; Pseudomonadati; Bacteroidota; Sphingobacteriia; Sphingobacteriales
Description: bacterial SSU rRNA
Rfam family: Bacterial small subunit ribosomal RNA
Source: RNAcentral